GACGAACGCUGGCGGCGUGCUUAACACAUGCAAGUCGAACGGAAAGGCCCUGCUUUUGUGGGGUGCUCGAGUGGCGAACGGGUGAGUAACACGUGAGUAACCUGCCCUUGACUUUGGGAUAACUUCAGGAAACUGGGGCUAAUACCGGAUAGGAGCUCCUGCUGCAUGGUGGGGGUUGGAAAGUUUCGGCGGUUGGGGAUGGACUCGCGGCUUAUCAGCUUGUUGGUGGGGUAGUGGCUUACCAAGGCUUUGACGGGUAGCCGGCCUGUGAGGGUGACCGGCCACAUGGGGACUGAGAGACGGCCCAGACGCCUACGGGAGGCAGCAGUGGGGAAUAUUGCACAAUGGGCGGAAGCCUGAUGCAGCAACGCCGCGUGCGGGAUGACGGCCUUCGGGUUGUAAACCGCUUUCGCCUGUGACGAAGCGUGAGUGACGGUAAUGGGUAAAGAAGCACCGGCUAACUACGUG
RNAcentral lists this ribosomal RNA (468 nucleotides) under uncultured bacterium. RNAcentral describes it as "partial 16S ribosomal RNA". It matches the Rfam family "Bacterial small subunit ribosomal RNA", at positions 28 to 507 of the family's 1533-position model. The record is from RNAcentral.